This 421-nucleotide ribosomal RNA is filed under the name uncultured eukaryote. RNAcentral describes it as "bacterial SSU rRNA". It matches the Rfam family "Eukaryotic small subunit ribosomal RNA", at positions 592 to 1018 of the family's 1831-position model. The record is from RNAcentral.
CAAUAGCGUAUAUUAAAGUUGUUGCGGUUAAAAGCUCGUAGUUGGAUUUCUGCCGAGGACGACCGGUCCGCCCUCUGGGUGAGCAUCUGGAUCGGCCUGGGCAUCCUCUUGGGGAACGUAGCUGCACUUGACUGUGUGGUGCGGUAUCCAGGACUUUUACUUUGAGGAAAUGAGAGUGUUUCAAGCAGGCUUGCGCCGUGAAUACGUUAGCAUGGAAUAAUAGCAUCGGACCUCGCUCCAAAGCUGUUGGUUUCUUGGGGCGAGGUAAAGGUGAAUAGGGAUUGUUGGGGGCAUUCGUAUUUAACUGUCAGAGGUGAAAUUCUUGGAUUUGUUGAAGACGGACUACUGCGAAAGCAUCUGCCAAAGAUGUUCUCAUUGAUCAAGAACGAAAGUUAGGUGAUCGAAGACGAUUAGAUACCAU